This 429-nucleotide ribosomal RNA is filed under the name bacterium. RNAcentral's name for it is "partial 16S ribosomal RNA". It matches the Rfam family "Bacterial small subunit ribosomal RNA", at positions 355 to 776 of the family's 1533-position model. The record is from RNAcentral.
UAGGGAAUCUUCGGCAAUGGGGGCAACCCUGACCGAGCAACGCCGCGUGAGUGAAGAAGGUUUUCGGAUCGUAAAGCUCUGUUGUAAGAGAAGAACGUGUGUGAGAGUGGAAAGUUCACACAGUGACGGUAACUUACCAGAAAGGGACGGCUAACUACGUGCCAGCAGCCGCGGUAAUACGUAGGUCCCGAGCGUUGUCCGGAUUUAUUGGGCGUAAAGCGAGCGCAGGCGGUUUAAUAAGUCUGAAGUUAAAGGCAGUGGCUUAACCAUUGUUCGCUUUGGAAACUGUUAAACUUGAGUGCAGAAGGAGAGAGUGGAAUUCCAUGUGUAGCGGUGAAAUGCGUAGAUAUAUGGAGGAACACCGGUGGCGAAAGCGGCUCUCUGGUCUGUAACUGACGCUGAGGCUCGAAAGCGUGGGGAGCAAACAGG